UGAGAGGCUGCUUGUCGUUCUUUAUAAAAUUGACGUCCCUGCCAAUAGAUAUGAUCUCUUGUGUCUGGAAGGAUUGAUUCUAGAACUUCAGGUCUUCAAAGAAAGGAUAAAGGCACUAGUAUAUAAACAGCUAAUGCCUAACGGAAAAAUCCAGAAAUUGAUUAUCACAGAAGAGACAGCUAAACUACGCCCUUUUGCUGUGGCAGUGGUUCUCCGAAAUAUAAAAUUUACUGAAGAUCAAUAUGACAGCUUCAUUGAACUUCAAGAGAAAUUACAUCAGAAUAUUUACAGACAGAGAGCCCUGGCUGCUAUUGGUACCCAUGAUUUGGACGCUUUAUCAGGCCCAUUUACAUAUACUGCAAAGCACACUUCAGAUAUCAAGUUCAGGCCUCUAAAUAAGGGCAAGGAGUAUACAGCCUGUGAACUAAUGAACAUCUACAAGACUAACAACGACCUUAAACGUUAUUUGCAUAUCAUUGAAAAUAAAACCUUGUGGCUCGGCGCCUAAAAGAAACCCUUGUUCCCAGUUAUCUAUGACAGCAAUGGUGUUGUCCUUUCAAUGCCUCCAAUCAUCAAUGGAAAUCAUUCCAAAAUAACAGUAAAUACUAGGAAUGUAUUUAUUGAAUGCACAGGCACUGACUUCACUAAGGGAAAAAUACUUCUUGACAUUAUUGUCACUAUGUUCAAUGAAUACUGUGAGAAUCAAUUCACAGUGGAAGCAGCUGAGGUAGUUUUUCCUAAUGCAAAGUUAUAUACCUUUCCAGAACUAGCUUACCAAAAGGAGAUGGUAAGAGCUGAUCUAAUUAACAAAAAAGUUGGAAUCAGAGAAACUCCAGAAAAUCUUGCUAAGCUUCUGACCAGGAUGUAUUUAAAGUCAGAAAUCAUAGGUGAUGGGAAUCAGAUUGAGAUUGAAAUCCCUCCGACCAGAGCUGACAUUAUCCAUGCAUGUGAUACUGUAGAAGAUACAGCUAUUGCUUAUGGAUAUAACAACAUUCAGAUGACUCUCCUGAAACCAUACACCAUAGCUGAUCAAUUUCCUGUUAAUAAGCUCACUGAACUUCUCAGAUAUGACAUGGCAGCCGCUGGCUUCACUGAAGCGCUUACCUUUGCUCUGUGCUCCCAAGAACAUAUUGCUGAUAAACUUGGUUUGGAUAUCUCCGCAACGAAGACAGUCCACAUAAGUAAUCCUAAAACAGCUGAGUUUCAGGUGGCACACACUACCCUCCUUCCUGGCCUCCUAAAGACCAUAGAAGCCAAUCGGAAAUGCCCCUUCCUCUGAAACUGUUUGAAAUCUCUGACAAUGUGGAAAAAGAUUCUAGGAAAGAUAUAGGUGCAUAAAAUUACAGGCAUCUGUGUGCUGUUUAUUACAAUAAGAAUCUUGGGUUCAAGGUGAUCCAUACGCUGCUGGACAGAAUUAUGCAGCUGCUUGCCGUGCGCCCUGGUAAAGAUAAAGGCGGAUAUGUGAUCAAGGCAGCAGAAGGCCCUACUUUCUUCUCCGGGCGAUGUACUGAGAUCUUUGCCAAGGAUCAAACCAUCGGAAAACUUGGGGUCCUUCAUCCUGAUGUUAUCACCAAAUUUUGAGCUGACCAUGCCCUGCUCCUCUCUGGAAAUCAAUAUCGAGCUCUUUUUGUGAAGAUAGAUCUCUGUUGUGUGAUUCUGUUCCCAAGUGUCCCUUUCUCCUUCCCUGGUGUCCUUUAGUCCUCCACAGGAACAUCCAUUUGUACUUUAAUGUUUAAUAAAGUAUGAUAGAAAGCACUGUCUGUUUCUGUGGGUAGAGCCAUCUUUUCCCUGCAUUAGGCCAGCUUGUGCGAUACAUAAAUGUGGUAUCUGUGCGGAGCUGCCCUGCUGGGUAGAGGCCCAGUGGAGUGCGGGAGAAAUGCACUAGCAGCGUGCAGGGCGGCUGAAAGUCGGAAGUGUUCCUCAGACAUCAGCAUCUCACACUGUAACUGAUUACGCCUGAUAAAAGGAUCCCUUUCUUUUCCUUAUUGAUAAAACAAGAUAAUUGAUUAGUAUACAUGUUGCAUGAGCAUGAGAUAAUGAAAGGUUUUAGUUUUCAUGUUCUCCAUUAGACAUAUAUUCAUCAUUUGGAAACAAUAAAAAAACACCAUUUAAAAAAAAAAAAAAAUUGAGGGCGGCGCCUGUGGUUCAGUGAGUAGGGCGCCGGCCCCAUAUGCUGAGAGUGGUGGGUUCAAACCCAGCCCCGGCCAAACUGCAACAAAAAAAUAGCCGGGUGUUGGGCGGCGCCUGUGGCUCAGUGAGUAGGGCGCCAGCCCCAUAUGCCGAGGGUGGCGGGUUCAAACCCAGCCCCGGCCAAACUGCAACCAAAAAAUAGCCAGGCGUUGUGGCGCACGCCUGUAGUCCCAGCUGCUCGGGAGGCUGAGGCAAGAGAAUCGCGUAAGCCCAAGA
Nycticebus coucang (slow loris) is the source of this 2406-nucleotide RNA transcript. It is a transcript of the gene named phenylalanine--tRNA ligase beta subunit-like, with no coding region annotated. The transcript has 2 exons. The record is from RefSeq and is a predicted model, not a curated record. NCBI's taxonomy places the organism in Eukaryota, Metazoa, Chordata, Mammalia, Primates, Lorisidae.